RNA transcript from Dendrobium catenatum, 1333 nucleotides. It is a transcript of the gene named 50S ribosomal protein L19, chloroplastic, with no coding region annotated. NCBI's taxonomy places the organism in Eukaryota, Viridiplantae, Streptophyta, Magnoliopsida, Asparagales, Orchidaceae. The transcript has 7 exons. The record is from RefSeq and is a predicted model, not a curated record.
UUCGCUGGGGUUUGCUUUUCCAGUUUCCUCUUCUCCGGCUGUCGAUGCGCUUCGUCUUCGCCAGCUUCGCGUGAAAGGGAGUUUUGAACGAGUCGCUAAGUAACUUCGUCGUAUCCUUCGACAACGUUCCUUACUGUGGGAUCCGAAGUCACACCUCCUCGCCGUUCUUCUGUUGGAUCGGAAGUAACGACGACGACGACGGGAGCUUGCUCGUUGCGAAGCUGCAUAACAGGAAGGAUGCAAAUGUUUUGGAGAAGUGUUCGUGGUUUUGGAAAUCAUCUUGCCAGCUAUAAAUUUGCACAUUCAACAUCUUCGGAGAGCUUUCCCGUGAAUAACAAAUUGUCAACAUUGAAGCUAAAUUUUUCUACAUUUCAAAGAGGACCAAUCUACCAAAGAAAUUAUUCUUUUUCAUUUCCUCCUAAGAAUUUUUCAGUUGCAGCAAGCAUGUUGUAUCAGGGUGAGCUGCUGCGGUCUAAUUACCCAAUAUUUCAUCUUUACCUUUGCAAAAACAUAUCUUUAAGGCACAUGACGACACUUGGUCCCACUGAUCCACGCUCGGAUGUGGAACAACCCCCGCGAAUCAAAUUUAAGAGACUUGAUAAAACAGCAAAGCACAUAAUGAAUAUAUUAGACAAGGAAGCUGUGGAGAAAGUAAAAGCUGAAAGAGACAUUCCGGAAAUAAAACCUGGUUACAUUGUGCAGUUGAAAGUGGAGGUGCCUGAGAACAGACGACGUGUUUCAAUACUGAAGGGCAUUGUAAUAGCUAAACGGAAUGCUGGCCUGAAUAGUACAUUUAGAUUGCGCAGACUGGUUGCUGGAGUUGGCGUUGAAUCUGUUUUUCCACUGCUUACGUCUUGUUCCGCCCGGAGGCUUAUGCCUCACCUCGCUUAGACAAAACGCUUCGAUUUCCGUUUCCGCCUUUUAAAACCUUGGUUCCAGCUUGAGUGUUUGCGUCAACAUCCUAAGAAACUCAUAAGUCGCCAGAAGUGGUGAUAGGUACUCUCCAAACAUCAAGGAAAUGAAGGUUUUGGACAAGAAGAAAGUGAGGAGGGCAAAGUUGUACUAUCUCAGGGAAAGGAUGAACCCACUCAAGAAAUGAAAAAUUAUUCCUGAUUUCAUUGUAAUUUGUAUAUUUUUUGUAGGAGGGAUCAAGGGCUGAAUCAGUCAUAAUUUUCAAGGGGGGCAAACUUAUAAGUAACUAUUGGCAGAUAUAUCGGGAGUCCAAGGGGACAGCGCCCUCGGAACAAAUUUUGAUGUACUAUUUCUCUUUGUAUUUGGUUCAUCGUUCCCUAACAAUAACACCUCUACACGUGUUUAAUUAUGCUGGGGGCAA